Molecule: ribosomal RNA, 305 nt
Filed under: uncultured bacterium
Lineage: Bacteria
Description: bacterial SSU rRNA
Rfam family: Bacterial small subunit ribosomal RNA
Source: RNAcentral
CCUACGGGGGGCAGCAGUGAGGAAUAUUGGUCAAUGGGCGGGAGCCUGAACCAGCCAAGCCGCGUGAGGGAAGAAGGUACAGCGUAUCGUAAACCUCUUUUGUCAGGGAACAAAGGCGGGGACUAGUCCCCGGAUGAGGGUACCUGAAGAAAAAGCAUCGGCUAACUCCGUGCCAGCAGCCGCGGUAAUACGGAGGAUGCGAGCGUUAUCCGGAUUUAUUGGGUUUAAAGGGUGCGCAGGCGGCCUGUUAAGUCAGCGGUAAAAGCCCGGGGCUCAACCCCGGCGAGCCGUUGAAACUGGCGGGG